Molecule: non-coding RNA, 46 nt
Organism: Pelecanus crispus (Dalmatian pelican)
Lineage: Eukaryota; Metazoa; Chordata; Aves; Pelecaniformes; Pelecanidae
Source: Rfam
UAAACGGUCUUUUUAAAGACCAUUUUUAGUGUGUAUGAUAAGUUUG